Molecule: long non-coding RNA, 332 nt
Organism: Raphanus sativus (radish)
Lineage: Eukaryota; Viridiplantae; Streptophyta; Magnoliopsida; Brassicales; Brassicaceae
Exons: 3
Source: RefSeq, a predicted model, not a curated record
GAAAGGGCAUGUUAAACCUGCUAACCAUUUAGAGUUGCAUGAGAAGAUUCUUAUAGGUGUUGCUACUAAAAAGGAGUGGUCAAGCUUUUCAAUGCUGUAAACAAGGCUCAACAUGCUCAGGAGGGGUUGAAUGCUUCAAGGUCAAAAGAAGCGAAGUAAAGAAGCAUUCUUCUCGGAGUUGGGGAAAACACCUAGAACAGACUCCAAGGUUUUGCAUAGUCUACACUAUCUCCUACUCUCUCUGUAUACGCUUUAUCUCGAGAGUUUUAAGACAUUCACCUUUAGAUGAGCAUAUAAGCAAGUUCGCCUGUCUUGAUGUGACUUCUAUGAAG